This 498-nucleotide ribosomal RNA is filed under the name uncultured bacterium. RNAcentral's name for it is "partial 16S ribosomal RNA". It matches the Rfam family "Bacterial small subunit ribosomal RNA", at positions 29 to 507 of the family's 1533-position model. The record is from RNAcentral.
ACGAACGCUGGCGGCGUGCCUAAUACAUGCGAGUCGAGCGAAGUUUUUCUGGUGCUUGCACCGGAAAAACUUAGCGGCGAACGGGUGAGUAACACGUAAAGAACCUGCCUCAUAGACUGGGACAACUAUUGGAAACGAUAGCUAAUACCGGAUAAUAGCAUUAACUGCAUGGUUGAUGUUUAAAAGUUGGUUUUGCUAACACUAUGAGAUGGCUUUGCGGUGCAUUAGCUAGUUGGUGGGGUAAAGGCCUACCAAGGCGACGAUGCAUAGCCGACCUGAGAGGGUGAUCGGCCACACUGGGACUGAGACACGGCCCAGACUCCUACGGGAGGCAGCAGUAGGGAAUCUUCCGCAAUGGGCGAAAGCCUGACGGAGCAACGCCGCGUGAGUGAAGAAGGAUUUCGGUUCGUAAAGCUCUGUUGUUAGGGAAGAAUGAUUGUGUAGUAACUAUACACAGUAGAGACGGUACCUAACCAGAAAGCCACGGCUAACUACGUG